CGCUGGCGGCGUGCCUAAUACAUGCAAGUCGAACGGUCUUUCUAUGGAAGCCUGCUUCCACUGAGAAGAUAGUGGCGAACGGGUGAGUAACACGUGGGUAACCUGCCCAUAAGAGGGGGGAUAACAUCCGGAAACGGGUGCUAAUACCGCAUAGUUUCCUUGAUCGCAUGAUCGGGAAAGGAAAGACGGCCUUUGUGUUGUCGCUUAUGGAUGGACCCGCGGCGUAUUAGUUAGUUGGUGAGGUAACGGCUCACCAAGACGAUGAUACGUAGCCGACCUGAGAGGGUGAUCGGCCACAUUGGGACUGAGACACGGCCCAAACUCCUACGGGAGGCAGCAGUAGGGAAUCUUCCGCAAUGGACGAAAGUCUGACGGAGCAACGCCGCGUGAGUGAAAGAAGGUUUUCGGAUCGUAAAACUCUGUUGUCAGAGAAGAACAAGUUGGAGAGUAACUGCUCCAGCCUUGACGGUAUCUGACCAGAAAGCCACGGCUAACUACGUGCCAGCCGCCGC
RNAcentral lists this ribosomal RNA (512 nucleotides) under uncultured bacterium. RNAcentral describes it as "bacterial SSU rRNA". It matches the Rfam family "Bacterial small subunit ribosomal RNA", at positions 34 to 518 of the family's 1533-position model. The record is from RNAcentral.